AUUGAACGCUGGCGGCAGGCCUAACACAUGCAAGUCGAGCGGAUGAAGGGAGCUUGCUCCUGGAUUCAGCGGCGGACGGGUGAGUAAUGCCUAGGAAUCUGCAUGGUAGUGGGGGAUAACGUCCGGAAACGGGCGCUAAUACCGCAUACGUCCUGAGGGAGAAAGUGGGGGAUCUUCGGACCUCACGCUAUCAGAUGAGCCUAGGUCGGAUUAGCUAGUUGGUGGGGUAAAGGCCUACCAAGGCGACGAUCCGUAACUGGUCUGAGAGGAUGAUCAGUCACACUGGAACUGAGACACGGUCCAGACUCCUGCAGGAGGCAGCAGUGGGGAAUAUUGGACAAUGGGCGAAAGCCUGAUCCAGCCAUGCCGCGUGUGUGAAGAAGGUCUUCGGAUUGUAAAGCACUUUAAGUUGGGAGGAAGGGCAGUAAGUUAAUACCUUGCUGUUUUGACGUUACCAACAGAAUAAGCACCGGCUAACUUCGUG
This 484-nucleotide ribosomal RNA is filed under the name uncultured bacterium. Its description in RNAcentral is "partial 16S ribosomal RNA". It matches the Rfam family "Bacterial small subunit ribosomal RNA", at positions 30 to 507 of the family's 1533-position model. The record is from RNAcentral.